UUGAUGAUAAAUAUUUCUAUCUUGUUUUCAAAGAAAAUGAUGGACAUUUUCGGGGUAUUUGAGCAUCUCCAAAAAUGAGCUUGAAACGAAAGAAAAGUUACUGAACAAAAGUAUUCACGCAGAUGGGAAGCGAAAAAUGUGUGGAGACUGACGGAGGAAAUGAAAGGUGAAGACUUUAGAUAUGCAAAUUUGGUAGCAAAGUUACAUGGGUGAAACCCUAAUUCCUUGGAGGAGGUCAUAGAAACUAAACACUAGAAGUGACGUCUCUUAUGUUCUUAUUCAACUCACAGUGAAAAAUAAGCCAGUAGAAAGUUGAGCUUUUCUCAGUUGUACAUUCUGUAGAAAAACUUAAAUACAAAAAGGAAUCAAUUUUUUUAAAAAAGAAAUCUAGGCAGAGUCUACGAGUUGCAUGUCCAAGGCAUCUCGACCACCUGUCCAUCAAUGAGAUGGAAUUAUGAGAGGAUGGCAGGAACCCACACAUCUCCGUCCAGGUGGUCCAUGCUGGCCGAGCGCUUCCUGGAAGCUCGCCGUGCGUCCUUGAAGGUGACGUCGCUCAGUCUGGAAAUAGCCUGAAGACAUAAAAGGUUCUUCUUGUUUUCCCUGUUCUUCAAAAUUAACUUCCUUGACUUCAUAAAAGGAAAAAAAAAACAGGAACUUAGUUUGAUCAGGCGUUGGAAAAUAGGAAUGCCGGGAUCCAGCUCGUCUGUAAAUCUGUAUUCAAGAAUACAGUUUAACGGUGCACACAGUUCCUAAAGGAACAUAUCAGAUCAUUUUCAUCCACUCAUUGUAGUCCGACUGUUGGAUGAUCAUCCAUGUGGUCAUCACACAACACACGGAACAACAAGGCCGCCAUGACCGAGUUUGCAGGAUGCAGGACUCCCAAAGCUCAUCCGGGAGUAUGUGAGAGAAACCGGGCUCGACCUCGACAGAAUGUAAACCAAGGAUGGCGGGAUGACCUGCAUUCCCUUUGGAGCGAGACUGCAUAUGAUAGCAGGCAACAGUUGGCGCAAAGGACGUACCUCCAGCUUUUGGGCUUUGUGGUGGCUGAGGGCCUCCAGCGGGAUGCUGAGGUCAUUGGCCUCGGAGAGCGAGCGCAGGUCAAAGUAAUACUUGACGUAAACACUUGAAGGCACGUUGAUGUUGAACUGCACAAGUUCCAGGAAGUGUCGUUCCAGACGGUUCCUGUAGGACAUCGCAUCAGAGGAAUUUUUAUACGGUGAGCAUUAUAAUUCACAACAAAGUCUGCCAAAAAAGAUUGUGUCAUAAUGAAAUAUUAUUACUUGCUGUCAUUUGUUGGUGGAAAACCAGAAGAAACGCAUUUCUUUCUACUGACCAUCAAUGAUGACUACUUUGAUACGGUGAUGCAUUUUGAGACAUCGUAUAGUCAGUAUACAAGGUACAAGCCAGCAACAGGGGAGUUCAUUCUGAACCAUUCGCGACGCAGCUUCUGAAGACAUACAUGUCGACCACAGUCAUGUCUUUGAGGAUGUGACAGUAGUCCACGUUCCACACGGCGUGGUCGUCCCACACUUUGGAUGCCAGCAGGGCGGCACCCAGCACCAUUCGUCUCCACGUCGCAGGACUCAUGGAGACCUCUGCGUACGUCAGAAGCCUCUCCAGCAUGACAAUGGCGCACUCGGACCUGAGCUGUGCGGCGCAGAACAGCGUGCGGAUAAAGCGGUAAACCUGCCUCGGUUCUGGGUCCCGAUGGUUACAAUCGGCAGGUACCUGGUG
Hippocampus zosterae (dwarf seahorse) is the source of this 1734-nucleotide long non-coding RNA. RefSeq lists it as uncharacterized. NCBI's taxonomy places the organism in Eukaryota, Metazoa, Chordata, Actinopteri, Syngnathiformes, Syngnathidae. The record is from RefSeq and is a predicted model, not a curated record. The transcript is spliced from 3 exons.